RNAcentral lists this ribosomal RNA (489 nucleotides) under Cladosporium sp. GW31-1. Its description in RNAcentral is "eukaryotic LSU rRNA". The stretch from base 126 to 279 matches the Rfam family "5.8S ribosomal RNA". The record is from RNAcentral. Lineage: Eukaryota; Fungi; Ascomycota; Dothideomycetes; Cladosporiales; Cladosporiaceae.
CAUAACCCUUUGUUGUCCGACUCUGUUGCCUCCGGGGCGACCCUGCCUUCGGGCGGGGGCUCCGGGUGGACACUUCAAACUCUUGCGUAACUUUGCAGUCUGAGUAAACUUAAUUAAUAAAUUAAAACUUUUAACAACGGAUCUCUUGGUUCUGGCAUCGAUGAAGAACGCAGCGAAAUGCGAUAAGUAAUGUGAAUUGCAGAAUUCAGUGAAUCAUCGAAUCUUUGAACGCACAUUGCGCCCCCUGGUAUUCCGGGGGGCAUGCCUGUUCGAGCGUCAUUUCACCACUCAAGCCUCGCUUGGUAUUGGGCAACGCGGUCCGCCGCGUGCCUCAAAUCGACCGGCUGGGUCUUCUGUCCCCUAAGCGUUGUGGAAACUAUUCGCUAAAGGGUGUUCGGGAGGCUACGCCGUAAAACAACCCCAUUUCUAAGGUUGACCUCGGAUCAGGUAGGGAUACCCGCUGAACUUAAGCAUAUCAAUAAGCGGAGG